Long non-coding RNA from Ipomoea triloba (trilobed morning glory), 316 nucleotides. RefSeq lists it as uncharacterized. The transcript has 2 exons. The record is from RefSeq and is a predicted model, not a curated record. NCBI's taxonomy places the organism in Eukaryota, Viridiplantae, Streptophyta, Magnoliopsida, Solanales, Convolvulaceae.
UUGAUGAUGAUGGUAAAGGAGGAGACAUUGAACCUUUGAAGGUUUAAGAGAAAUAUUAGAAGAAUUAAAGCCAUUCAAGAAAUAGUUGAUGAAAGAUGCAGUGACAAGUGCACUAAGAAGAGUUGCAGUUGGCUUUGGGAAUUUAGUGAUUAAACUUUUGUAUUCAGGACCUGUUUUAAGAUCUCAUUGUUUAAGACUUAUAGUUGAGAAUGUAUGAGUUACGUUUUGUGGUUUAGCCUUAGCAUUUAGGUUGGUUAAUUGCCUAAGUGUGGCGGCAAUGCCCUCAAUAAGAUUGUGAAAAGCUUCCGCAUUCUAA